UGGGGGAUAUUGCACAAUGGGCGCAAGCCUGAUGCAGCGACGCCGCGUGGGGGAUGAAGGCCUUCGGGUUGUAAACUUCUUUUGCUCUGAACAAGGCGCACUUUGGGGUGUGUUGAGUGUAGGGGUUGAUUAGCGCCGGCUAACUACGUGCCAGCAGCCGCGGUAAUACGUAGGGCGCGAGCGUUGUCCGGAAUUAUUGGGCGUAAAGGGCUUGUAGGUGGCUGGUUGCGUCUGUCGUGAAAGCUCAUGGCUUAACUGUGGGUUUGCGGUGGGUACGGGCUGGCUUGAGUGCAGUAGGGGAGGCUGGAAUUCCUGGUGUAGCGGUGGAAUGCGCAGAUAUAAGGAGGAAUACCGGUGGCGAAGGCGGGUCUCUGGGCUGUUACUGACACUGAGGAGCGAAAGCAUGGGGAGCGAACAGG
RNAcentral lists this ribosomal RNA (419 nucleotides) under bacterium. RNAcentral's name for it is "partial 16S ribosomal RNA". It matches the Rfam family "Bacterial small subunit ribosomal RNA", at positions 355 to 776 of the family's 1533-position model. The record is from RNAcentral.